RNAcentral lists this ribosomal RNA (1405 nucleotides) under uncultured bacterium. RNAcentral's name for it is "partial 16S ribosomal RNA". It matches the Rfam family "Bacterial small subunit ribosomal RNA". The record is from RNAcentral.
AGAGUUUGAUCCUGUGCUCAGGAUGAACGCUAGCGGCAGGCUUAACACAUGCAAGUCGAGGGGCAGCGGGGAGGAAGCUUGCUUUCUCCGCCGGCGACCGGCGCACGGGUGAGUAACACGUAUGCAACCUGCCCCUGUCAGGGGGACAACCCGCCGAAAGGCGGGCUAAACCCGCGUACAUGCCACCGGGGCAUCCCGGAGGCAGGAAAGGCUUCGGCCGGACAGGGAUGGGCAUGCGGCGCAUUAGGCAGUAGGCGGGGUAACGGCCCACCUAACCGACGAUGCGUAGGGGUUCUGAGAGGAAGGUCCCCCACACUGGUACUGAGACACGGACCAGACUCCUACGGGAGGCAGCAGUGAGGAAUAUUGGUCAAUGGUCGGGAGACUGAACCAGCCAAGCCGCGUGAGGGAGGAAGGUACAGAGUAUCGUAAACCUCUUUUGUCAGGGAACAAAGGCGGGGACGUGUCCCCGGAUGAGUGUACCUGAAGAAAAAGCAUCGGCUAACUCCGUGCCAGCAGCCGCGGUAAUACGGAGGAUGCGAGCGUUAUCCGGAUUUAUUGGGUUUAAAGGGUGCGCAGGCGGUCUGUUAAGUCAGCGGUCAAAGCCCGGGGCUCAACCCCGGCCCGCCGUUGAAACUGGCAGUCUCGAGUUGGAGAGAAGUAUGCGGAAUGCGCGGUGUAGCGGUGAAAUGCAUAGAUAUCGCGCAGAACUCCGAUCGCGAAGGCAGCAUGCCGGCUCCACACUGACGCUGAGGCACGAAAGCGUGGGUAUCGAACAGGAUUAGAUACCCUGGUAGUCCACGCAGUAAACGAUGAAUGCUGGCUGUCCGGGGGGAUUGACCCCUGGGUGGCGAAGCGAAAGCGAUAAGCAUUCCACCUGGGGAGUACGCCGGCAACGGUGAAACUCAAAGGAAUUGACGGGGGCCCGCACAAGCGGAGGAACAUGUGGUUUAAUUCGAUGAUACGCGAGGAACCUUACCCGGGCUCAAACGGGGAGUGACUCAGGCAGAGACGCCUGUUUCCCACGGGACACUCCCCGAGGUGCUGCAUGGUUGUCGUCAGCUCGUGCCGUGAGGUGUCGGCUUAAGUGCCAUAACGAGCGCAACCCCCGCGUGCAGUUGCUAACAGAUAACGCUGAGGACUCUGCACGGACUGCCGGCGCAAGCCGCGAGGAAGGCGGGGAUGACGUCAAAUCAGCACGGCCCUUACGUCCGGGGCGACACACGUGUUACAAUGGGUGGUACAGCGGGAAGCCAGGCGGCGACGCCGAGCGGAACCCGAAAUCCACUCUCAGUUCGGAUCGGAGUCUGCAACCCGACUCCGUGAAGCUGGAUUCGCUAGUAAUCGCGCAUCAGCCAUGGCGCGGUGAAUACGUUCCCGGGCCUUGUACUCACCGCCCGUCAAG